Molecule: non-coding RNA, 24 nt
Filed under: Arabidopsis thaliana (thale cress)
Lineage: Eukaryota; Viridiplantae; Streptophyta; Magnoliopsida; Brassicales; Brassicaceae
Also listed under: 1 other name
Source: RNAcentral
GGCUAAAUACGGGCGAGAGACCGA